Drosophila ficusphila is the source of this 3151-nucleotide long non-coding RNA. RefSeq lists it as uncharacterized. The record is from RefSeq and is a predicted model, not a curated record. Lineage: Eukaryota; Metazoa; Arthropoda; Insecta; Diptera; Drosophilidae. The transcript is spliced from 4 exons.
CCAUCGCUCGUUCAGUCGUCGUUGCGUGUUGUAGGUGGCCUGGUCUACUCAGCUCCGUUUCGACUGCUCCUCCUCCAACUGCUGUUGCCACUGCGUCUGCUGCUGCUGCUGCGGACUGCUGCAUCUGCAACCUGCCACACUCACACCACGGCAACAGAAGUAGACGCGUCGCGUUCAGUCUUCGUUCUGCAGCAUAGCGUCAUGUCGCGUAGUGUUCGGCCCACAAAGAAAAAAAAAGAAAAUACACCAUAAUAAUAAUCCCAGACUGUAAGGUGACUGAACCGAUCCUUAACCCAUCACCAUCCUCCCAUCUUCCCCACUCAAGUGCCGCGAAUGUGUGUCAAUUAAAAAGUCUCGUCUGAGUGAGUCGCGUGUUUAAUUUGCGGCACGUUCCCCACACACACUCGCUAUCAAUUUAAUUAAAGCGCCACAGACAGACCCAUAAAUAUCGCCCAACUAUCUAACCAAGCUGCAAACGUAAACCAGCUCAAAAUUAAACACAAUAUUGCGGCCAAAACCGAACCAAACCGUCCAAAACUGAAUUCCCAGCCAAAGAGAGAUAAAGCGAUUGAUGGAGGAGGAGAUUUUGGGAGGGGAAAACCUAGCCCCGAAAAUCGAUAAAAUGAAUCGUUUAAACAUUGCGGUCAACUGAAUCCACAUCGAAUUUUCAAUUUUCGGGAAACCACAUGUAAAAUACAAACUACUCCUGGGCUAAAAUUGCCAGAACUUGGUCAACAACUUUAUGAAUGUAUGUUACAUAAAAAAAAUACCUACACGAUGGUCCGAAAAAAAAGCAAUGGGAAAAUCUUCAUCUACAACUGCCAACAUCAGGAAAAAAGCAAACUUUGCUUUGCUACCCACUUGAUAUGUUAAAUCUGCGUAAAUUUAUCAACUUUACUAAUUAACAGCAUUUCCCCCUUGGUCGCUGGCAAUUUUUCAGCCCGAGGGCAAGCAGAAACUAGUCCGAAAUCUGUUUACAUUUGCAACAUGAGAAAUUGUUGGGCCAACACAGCAACACGGGGGCCAUAACUUGUUAACGGUUUCACUUAUGUAAGUUCAUUAGCAGCAGAACCUGGCCAUCAAUCAAAUCAGCAGACUGGCCAACUGACUUGGCCAACAUCGCUUUGGUUAGUUUGCGUUUUGCGGCUCUCGACUGCAAAUGAAAUGAAAAUUAGAAUGAGCACACACACAUGAAGUUCGACUGACGGACUGACAGACAGGUGAAUGUUUGUGUGUUUUGAGCAGGUGGAUUGUAAAUGCAGGACUUUCAGUUUGAGGUUCCGGGUUCUCUGUUCAGAGAUGGAUACCUGGAAUAGAGGGUUGGAUGGAUGGAUGGUUGGUUGGCUGGGUGGUUGGAUGGAUGGACAAUGCCCGAGGGCUACGCGUUGUCACGUGAGCGGCGAGCUGGGCAAUCAACGAAUCAGGCAACCAAUCAAGCGGCGUGUGACAUGCAACUGAAGCGUCUACGUGACCCCGAGAUACACAGAAUCCCGAACCAUUCCAAGCGAAAACCACCCAACCACAGUGGUGCCACUGCUCAAUUGCCUUUGCUUUGCAUUCAAGCCAAAUGGAAACUGGUCUUUAUAUUUCAAAGCCAAGAAAUAGAAUUAGUUGAUAACCAAAUACAAAAAUUAGAAAAUAAUUUAACUUAAGGUUUUUCUUUUAUAUACCUCUUUUCAUUACCUUUCCAUUUGUUUGAAAUAUUAUACUUAUUUAUUUUUAUUUCACGAUGGCUCCAAGCGAGUGCUUUUAGUUAUAUAUUCUCUAAAGCUUUUGCUAAUUAGUUUUUAGCAUUAUUUAAAACUUUUCACUUCAGCACUUCUAAGUGAGAUGUAGAAAUUUCCCAAAUUCGCUUUAGCCACCUAAACUCAUCACUGCUUUCGCAGUUCGUGGCUAUAUCACGCUGCGUUUCAAACUCUCUCGUUGCAUUAUGGACUGGCCGAACGUGCGUUCGCCAGCCUGCGAGUCCUGUGAGUCCUGCGAGGCAAGGACAUGGCCCCCAGACAGCCAGUCUUCCUCCUCGCAUGUCAGCACUCCUGACUGCUUCUGGCCAAGUCGGUCCUCCUCCUGCUGGCAAUUUAGUCCCUGCGACACGUCAAUGCUUUCAUCAUUUAAUUAACUGCUUCGUGUGGCUAAAUGGUCAGGUGGCAACUGCCGGCGAGGAAGGAUGCGCCCACUUUGCAUGCCACGUUUGAUUGAUCGCUCGACUAGGUGCGAAGGAGCUUAACGGGAAAUUCGACUGUCACUUUCCCUUCGCCAGUUGGGAAUUGCGAACAGGCCAGCCGACAGGACCAAGUGAUGUUGGAGAAAUGAGUAGUCGAAGGAAACCAUUGACAGGCCAAAAUGGGGGAAUUCAACACCUAGAUUGGCGUUCUUGGAAUUAAGUUUCAAAAAUAUAUUUGGUUAUCACUAUUUAUUUCUUUUAACCAAUUUAACUUUUUAAAGGAACUUUGCAGCGUAAAGUAUUCUACUCCCACUUAAAAAUCCCGAUUAUUUCUAACCUGAAAUCCCCGAGAGAAAAGCGAGGAAAAUUUCGUCUAUCGCAUUAAGAGAUAAACUUGUGUGUGAAUAAUUUAUGGUUGCCAAACAAGCCAAGCCGAGCCAACAAAAGCGAAAAGUUACGCCACCUCUAUCUGUACUGUGUACUUGUGCAGAUUGAAAAGAAAUCCAGAAGCGAUAUUUGCGUUGAUUUAUGUUUUUAUUUUCAGCAUUAUUUUCGAGUUUAUAUUUAAAACAUUAGACAACGUCAGCGGCGACACAAAAGAGAUAAAAACGCGGAGCCGAGGACUGCAGAAAUAAAACUGCAGUCGCAGCAACAAAAAUCCAAACAAAUGUAGGUGGAAUGUGGCGGAUGGGGAAUGUCGAGCUGAAAAGCGGGCAUAGAUAAAACCGGCGGGUGAAAGGGCAGACAGACAAAUAAAGCGGAAAUGUUAACAGCAACGAAUGGCGCCGGCGACAGCAGAAAGGAUGGGAAAUUCCGAGGGGCACUAGGUGACUUUUCCUCCCACUGAAUUUUCAUUUUGUACACGAUUUCCGCUUAAGCACAUGGGACAAGCCAUCCCAGCUCGAUUUCCCCCAGCCAUGUGCGUAUAAUUUAUGUUGCAAUUUAUAUAUGUAUUUCUCGGUUCCAAUUUUUUUUCUUUUUUUUCGG